CGAUUUAGUCUUUUGUGUAAACAGUUAUGUCAUAACUUAAUCAGUUUUCCGAAGUUCAUUUCAGCAGCAGUUUGUCAAACAUGCGACAAAUUUUCUCGCAGUCCCAAUAACUAUCCAUUUGUUCUGGGAGUAGGAGAAGAGAACCGCUUUGCAUUUUUCCAUCAUAUCAGCUGCACAAUGUCUAACACGGGGAAAAAAUUCGUGAUAGGCUGAUUUUAAUUUUAUUCCAAAGUCGUUUGCUAAUAUCAGAUAAUAAUCGAUGGCUCAUUUUAAAUCGAGAAGUUCUUCAUAAUAUUCUGCUAAUAAGGGGAGCAGAGGAAAAAAUAUGAUUUCAAGCCAAACGGCAAUCGCACUCCCGCCUGGGGAAGGGGGUAUCGUUCACUUAUCCCCGAAGGAGGAAGCUCUGAUCAGGGGCGGAUCCAAGAUUUUGAACCAGUUCUCAUAUCAACAAAAAUUACGAAGGAGCCCUCAAAGUAGGAAGUUUUCAUCGAAACAUCUCAAAAAUCAUCGCGUCGAUGUGAUGAAAGAGAUUUUCUCCCAUUUAUAAAUUUAGGGGCAGCACACCCUUGCGUAGACGUUGUAGUCAAAUCAUUAAAAUCAAAUUUAUUUGUCUUCCUGAAAUUAACAAUUAUGUGGUUAGGUGCUACCGUUUUUUAUUCUUUUACGAGAUUACAAGACAGUUUUACCACGAACCAAAACUCUUUAUUUUUACUUUCGACACGUGUUUCGCUAACGAUGAUGUAAUGAUAACUAAUGAUGUAACUAACUAGUGUAUAAGGAGAUUUGUAACUAGCUUUAGUUUAGUUUUGAUCUUCUGCCGAAGAUGCCAACGUCUUUAGCGAAACAAGUGUCUUGAGUAAAACUUAAAAAAAAGUACAAAUACAAAAAAUGUAAAUACAAAUUUAUUUGAGGUAUAAUUGAUUUUUUUAUAUACGUAUAUAAGAGCUAAGCUUUUAUUCUUUUAAAUAUGAAAACAAAGAUAACUCCUAUUCAUUAGUAGUAGUAAUAAUAAAAGGAUAGUGUCCGGCGGGUAGGCUUAAAAUUUCCUUUCUGCCAACCCCUGAAACCCCGCCAUCACCACUGACCACCCUCUCCAGUUUCCCUAAGCAGGUUACCUGUCCUCCUAAUGAAGGAGAGCAGGCCUUCCCAGGUUCCUCUAAUUACUCUCGUGGCAGGAAUGGAGCACCCAUGGUUUCUCUCCUGAUCCUAACCCAUCCUUCGCAUUCUCCUAUAAAAUGAUAUCGAUAAAAUGAUGGACACACCCGCGGCACAGAGGGCUGGGACCACGCCUAAGAUUUGCAGAUGUCGGUUCAGUCUGCAAUGACCUGUUAGGACUCCGGUCAGGUGUGCUAUAAUCACUCUAUGCCGGGACAGCAGCCACACUAUACUAGCUUUAGUUGGAUUUGAUAGCAGUUUUUUGGCCUGUUCGCAACCGCUGUUCCUAUUCCAGUUUUUCCUGCGCUUUUGCAAUGCUCAGUCUAAAAUAUGGGAACCCCUAUUCAUUAAAUAAAACUUCUAACUUAAUCGGUAAAAACAUUUCGGUAGUUAAAUCUAUUACCAUUUUCUAGGGUACUGAAAAUUAAAAUUAAAUAUAGAAAAUACAUGGCUUCAAUAUCUCCUUAUUAAAUAAAAAAAAAAACAUUUUUUAAUUUCGUAUCCAGCGGCGUGAAGUGUGUAAAUGUCUUAGGAUAGCAUAAUGUAGCUAAGAACCGACCUAUAAAUUAGAUAUAUCUAGAUAUUAAAAAUAAGAUAACAUUAAAAAAAAUUCAUAAUUUGCAUAAAGGAUAAAGUAUAUUUUUAAAUCAAUUAUCAGAGUAGUUAGAAAUAUGCGAUACGUAAUAAUGGCAAAUCAAAUACAAUAUAAAAAUUAUAACUGGCUGCAUGGUUAAAUGCCACAUGCCAACAAAAAAAUAAUAACUUCGUAUGAUUACCAUUAGAGCCUAAAACUUCUUAGCAACUAUUAUAUAUUGCAACAGUGAUUAUACCAUUUAACUUUAAUUCAAUAGUAGUAUCGAGUAUCAAAUCUGAGACCUCAUUAUAUCUCCAAGAUAUUUUUACGAAUAUUUUUAAGAAUUUAUGCCAGUAGAUUAGAUUAUUACUUACAUUAAAUUUUGAGAUUUCUUUAGGACAGUCUAUAAUAGUCUAAAACGUAUCGCAAUAUGGCAAUAUUAAAAAUUCUAUCAGUGUAGCUGACUAUUUGCGCAACCUUAGGCUUAUCAGCUUUGGAUUAAGAAGUGCUGGGCUAACCCUCUUUUAAAAAAAUUGGUCAGACUCGGUGUGCAUUGGCUUUGUAUAGUGUCACCGAGCUCUACUGGAUAGUACGAGUAAAAAUCGGCACAACAAGAAAAUCGUAAAACUCUGUAGAAAUUAGAGAACAAUUUUUUUAAUAAUUUUUUCAUAUUUUGCUAUAAUAUUAUAAAAUUUCUAAUACGUAAUAUAAAAAUCUUCAUAACAUA
This is a long non-coding RNA of Anthonomus grandis grandis, 2456 nucleotides long. RefSeq lists it as uncharacterized. NCBI's taxonomy places the organism in Eukaryota, Metazoa, Arthropoda, Insecta, Coleoptera, Curculionidae. The transcript has 3 exons. The record is from RefSeq and is a predicted model, not a curated record.